Molecule: ribosomal RNA, 292 nt
Filed under: uncultured bacterium
Lineage: Bacteria
Also listed under: 1 other name
Description: partial 16S ribosomal RNA
Source: RNAcentral
GGACUACUGGGGUAUCUAAUCCUGUUUGAUCCCCACGCUUUCGUGCCUCAGCGUCAAUAUUUGUGUAGCCAGCUGCCUUCGCAAUUGGUGUUCUAUGUCAUAUCUAUGCAUUUCACCGCUACAUGACAUAUUCCGCUAACCUCCACAACAUUCAAGACAUAUAGUAUCCAUGGCAGUUUCCGAGUUAAGCUCGGAGAUUUCACCACGGACUUAAAUGUCCGCCUACGCACCCUUUAAACCCAGUGAAUCCGGAUAACGCUUGCACCCUCCGUAUUACCGCGGCUGCUGGCAC